Molecule: long non-coding RNA, 1315 nt
Filed under: Manihot esculenta (cassava)
Lineage: Eukaryota; Viridiplantae; Streptophyta; Magnoliopsida; Malpighiales; Euphorbiaceae
Description: long non-coding RNA (MESC_LNC002006)
Source: RNAcentral
UUAAAUUAUCCAAACGGAUCAUAGGUCUGCACAGUAAGCCUUGGCAACCAAGGAAGCUCUCUUCCACAUCGCCCCUGCUUUUCUAUUUAAAUACUUCUUUUUCUGCUCAUUUAAGUCUCACACUCACCUCUCAUGGACUCUUCUUCCCUCUGUAGCCUUCUCUUUUCUUCAAGAUUUUGAUCUAAUCACUACCCAUCUCCAAGAAAAUGGAGCUUUUUCCCUCUAAAUCCACUCCACAGCACCACCGCCGCCACCAAACUCUCCCUCCUAAGAGAGGCCAGAUAAAGGCGAAGAUUUUCAAAGAUUUAAUAAAAUCAGCUUCUUCAACCUUUGCUUCUCUUGGUAAAUCGUUCUCUGAGUCUAGCUCUAGCUCUAGCUCCCUGCUCCUGCUGCAAUUUCUAGUGGGUAUAACUCAGAUGAUCCUUGAGCCUUGUUCUCUCUGUUGCUCCAGUUGAAUUGGGAUUUUCUUCUUUUUUUCUCCAAAAUUGGCCUACUGCUGCAAUUUGUAUUCAUAAAUAAUUCUUUUAUUAUAUUUUCCCCCUUUUUAUGUAAGUAGGCAUGUUGUUAUAAGCUGAAUAUAGCUAAUUGAAAAUUGAAAUUGAUGAGUUUUUUCUUGGUAUUUCCUCUGUAGUUUCAUAACUCAUGCAUCUUCCAUGUCUGUUCUUGUGAAAUAUACCAAGGGAAUUUAUACAUUUGCAGCUAAAAGGAUGUGCUUUUUUGAGUGUUUGCUAAAAAAAUUUUUCAAAUUUUGUGAUGAUACUGGUUACGGGAUUGGAAAGUGAUAAGAUCCAUCAAGUACAAUCACAUGAAUGAGAAUUAAGGAAGUAAGAGUUCCACAGCGGACCAGUGACAAGGAGCAAAGCUAUCUGUUGCUACAAUUGAAUUGGGAUUUUCUUCUUCUUUUUUUCUCCCAAAUUGGCCUACUGCCGCAAUUUGUAUUCAUAAAUAAUACUUUUAUUAUAUUUUCCCCCUUUUGAUGUAAGUAGGCAUGUUGUUAUAAGCGGAAUAUAGCUAAUUGAAAAUUGAAAUUGAUGAGCUUUUUCUUGGUAUUUCCUUUGUAGUUUUGUAACUCAUGCAUCUUCCAUGUCUGUUCUUGUGAAAUAUACCAAGGGAAUUUAUACAUUUGCAGCUAAAAGGAUGUGCUUUUUUUGAGUGUUUGAUAACAUGUUUUUCCAAAUUUUGUGAUGAUAUUGGUGACGGGAUUGGAAAGUGAUAGGAACCAUCGAUCACAGUUACAUGAGAAUUAAAGUUAAGAAAAUUGAAGCCGCUAUGAACUUAUAUAUUCAAGAAUGACGCAAGAAUUGAUCGAGUUUGU